UGUGAUGACUGGUGUGGAAUCCGCUGA
RNAcentral lists this non-coding RNA (27 nucleotides) under Homo sapiens (human). The record is from RNAcentral. Lineage: Eukaryota; Metazoa; Chordata; Mammalia; Primates; Hominidae.